This 2049-nucleotide ribosomal RNA is filed under the name Plasmodium ovale curtisi. RNAcentral describes it as "SSU rRNA". It matches the Rfam family "Eukaryotic small subunit ribosomal RNA". Lineage: Eukaryota; Apicomplexa; Aconoidasida; Haemosporida; Plasmodiidae. The record is from RNAcentral.
CCUGGUUGAUCUUGCCAGUAGUCAUAUGCUUGUCUAAAAGAUUAAGCCAUGCAAGUCUAAGUAUAUGCAUAUUUGAUAUGCAGAAACUGCGAACGGCUCAUUAAAACAGUUAUAAUCUACUUGACAUUCUACGCCCACAAAGAUCGCGCGUAAUAAGGAUAACUACGGAAAAUCUGUAGAUAAUACGAUGACGAAAGCGCUCGGAGUCAUAUAUACGCCAGUUGCAAGUAUUUGUUACCCCCGAUAAGAGAGAUUUGCCCGAACCAAGGAAUUAUUACAAAGAAGGAACACAUCAUGAAUUUUAAUUUGUGUAGUGUGUAUCAAUCGAGUAACUGACCUAUCAGCUGUCGAUGUUAGGGUAUUGGCUUAACAUGGCUAUGACGGGUAACGGGGAAUUAGAGUUCGAUUCCGGAGAGGGAGCCUGAGAAAUAGCUACCACAUCUAAGGACGGCAGCAGGCGCGUAAAUUACCCAAUUCUAAAGAAGAGAGGUAGUGACAAGAUAUUACAAUACAAGGCCAUUUCAUGGUUUUGUAAUUGGAUUGAGAGGAAUAUAAAAACUUCCUAAGAUAACCAUUGGAGGGCAAGUCUGGUGCCAGCAGCCGCGGUAAUUCCAGCUCCAAUAGCGUAUAUUAAAAUUGUUGCAGUUAAAACGCUCGUAGUUGAAUUUCAAAGAGUCAUGGCGUUUCUGAGGUGCUCCUUGGUCGAUCUGCCCAGCACUGACUCUAUGAUUUUAUUGUAGAGCAGUGUGACUGGGUGUUCGAUUUCAAGAAAGUGUCUCCUUUACAAAGUGAUUUUUCUAAGGGUCUCUUGAGUACCAGUCCUUGGGAGGUUCUUUUUACCUUGAGUAAAUUAGAGUGUUUAAAGCAAACAGAUAGAACAGUUUACUGUGUUUAAAUACUACAGCAUGGAAUAAUAAUAUCGAAUGAGCCGACGUACUUUUCGUUUCUUUGUUAUUUUGGCUUAGUUACGAUUAACAGGAAUAGUUGGGGGCAUUUGUAUUCAGAUGUCAGAGGUGAAAUUCUAAGAUUAUCUGGAGACGAACAAUUGCGAAAGCAUCUGUCUAACAUAUUUUCAUUAAUCAAGAACGAAAGUUAAGGGAGUGAAGACGAUCAGAUACCGUCGUAAUCUUAACCAUAAACUAUGCCAACUAUGUUUUGGAUGUAUGAGAAAAAGAUGGAAUACUUUGUUUUACGACAUUGUCAUUCCAUUUAUGCUUCAUUCAGUACCUUAGAGAAAUCAAAGUCUUUGGGUUCUGGGGCGAGUAUUCGCGCAAGCGAGAAAGUUAAAAGAAUUGACGGAAGGGCACCACCAGACGUGGAGCUUGCGGCUUAAUUUGACUCAACACGGGAAAACUCACUAGUAUAAGACAAGAGUAGGAUUGACAGAUUAAUAGCUCUUUCUUGAUUUCUUGGAUGGUGAUGCAUGGCCGUUUUUAGUUCGUGAAUAUGAUUUGUCUGGUUAAUUCCGAUAACGAACGAGACCUUAACCUGCUAGUUAGCGGCCGGUAUGUCGCGAAUUUAUCAAAAUCUUAUCUCGUAGGCUGGAUUAUUUUUAGAAGAUAUGACGGAUAACCGAGUCGAGUGUCGUCCCCAUCACUGUUCUAUUAAUUCGCAGUCUGUCCUGGUUUUUUUUUAGGUAAGUAUGUAUCCGCUUGAAUGUAAGCUUCUUAGAGGUACGAUGUGUGCUUAACACAAGGAAGUUUAAGGCAACAACAGGUCUGUAAUGUCCCUAGAUAUACUAGGCUGCACGCGUGCUACAAUGAUAUGUAUAACGAGUUAUUUAAAAUAUGGCUCUGUAAAUUUUAAUUUAUGUGUUACUGAGGAUAUGUGUGCUUGUGUAUGUCAAUCGACGAGUUACUAAAGGUAUGUGCGGGUAUAUAAAAUCACGAGUUAAUAAUAGUGUUUGCUUGUGCAUAUGCAAUGACAAGUCACUGUAGAUAUGUGAAUGUAAAUGUAAAUUGUAAAUUUAUCAAUGAUAUGUUCUUGUUCAUGUAAAAAUGACAAGUUACGAAGUAAGUAGGUGUUUAAUUGUUAAUAUAAGUUCUAAAG